This 449-nucleotide ribosomal RNA is filed under the name uncultured bacterium. RNAcentral describes it as "partial 16S ribosomal RNA". It matches the Rfam family "Bacterial small subunit ribosomal RNA", at positions 29 to 523 of the family's 1533-position model. The record is from RNAcentral.
AACGAACGCUGGCGGCAUGCCUAAUACAUGCAAGUCGAACGAACACUUCGGUGUUAGUGGCGCACGGGUGCGUAACGCGUGGGAAUCUGCCCUUGGGUUCGGAAUAACUUCGGGAAACUGAAGCUAAUACCGGAUGAUGACGUAAGUCCAAAGAUUUAUCGCCCAGGGAUGAGCCCGCGUAGGAUUAGGUAGUUGGUGAGGUAAAGGCUCACCAAGCCUACGAUCUUUAGCUGGUCUGAGAGGAUGAUCAGCCACACUGGGACUGAGACACGGCCCAGACUCCUACGGGAGGCAGCAGUGGGGAAUAUUGGACAAUGGGCGAAAGCCUGAUCCAGCAAUGCCGCGUGAGUGAUGAAGGCCUUAGGGUUGUAAAGCUCUUUUACCAGGGAUGAUAAUGACAGUACCUGGAGAAUAAGCUCCGGCUAACUCCGUGCCAGCCGCCGCAGUAA